AGUGAACGCUGGCGGUAGGCCUAACACAUGCAAGUCGAACGGCAGCACAGUAAGAGCUUGCUCUUACGGGUGGCGAGUGGCGGACGGGUGAGGAAUACAUCGGAAUCUACUUUUUCGUGGGGGAUAACGUAGGGAAACUUACGCUAAUACCGCAUACGACCUACGGGUGAAAGCAGGGGAUCUUCGGACCUUGCGCGAGUGAAUGAGCCGAUGUCGGAUUAGCUAGUUGGCGGGGUAAAGGCCCACCAAGGCGACGAUCCGUAGCUGGUCUGAGAGGAUGAUCAGCCACACUGGAACUGAAACACGGUCCAGACUCCUACGGGAGGCAGCAGUGGGGAAUAUUGGACAAUGGGCGCAAGCCUGAUCCAGCCAUACCGCGUGGGUGAAGAAGGCCUUCGGGUUGUAAAGCCCUUUUGUUGGGAAAGAAAAGCAGCAGGUUAAUACCCCGCUGUUCUGACGGUACCCAAAGAAUAAGCACCGGCUAACUUCGUG
This 492-nucleotide ribosomal RNA is filed under the name uncultured bacterium. Its description in RNAcentral is "partial 16S ribosomal RNA". It matches the Rfam family "Bacterial small subunit ribosomal RNA", at positions 29 to 507 of the family's 1533-position model. The record is from RNAcentral.